UACGGAGGGAGCUAGCGUUAUUCGGAAUUACUGGGCGUAAAGCGCACGUAGGCGGCUUUGUAAGUAAGAGGUGAAAGCCUGGAGCUCAACUCCAGAAUAGCCUUUAGACUGCAUCGCUUGAAUCAUGGAGAGGUGAGUGGAAUUCCGAGUGUAGAGGUGAAAUUCGUAGAUAUUCGGAAGAACACCAGUGGCGAAGGCGGCUCACUGGACAUGUAUUGACGCUGAGGUGCGAAAGCGUGGGGAGCAAACAGG
This 252-nucleotide ribosomal RNA is filed under the name uncultured bacterium. RNAcentral describes it as "partial 16S ribosomal RNA". It matches the Rfam family "Bacterial small subunit ribosomal RNA", at positions 524 to 776 of the family's 1533-position model. The record is from RNAcentral.